Molecule: ribosomal RNA, 704 nt
Filed under: Vibrio parahaemolyticus
Lineage: Bacteria; Pseudomonadati; Pseudomonadota; Gammaproteobacteria; Vibrionales; Vibrionaceae
Description: partial 23S ribosomal RNA
Rfam family: Bacterial large subunit ribosomal RNA
Source: RNAcentral
UAAGGCUGAGACACGACGUCGAGCACCUACGGGUGUGAAGUCAUUGAUGCCAUGCUUCCAGGAAAAGCCUCUAAGCUUCAGAUUGUAAGGAAUCGUACCCCAAACCGACACAGGUGGUCGGGUAGAGAAUACCAAGGCGCUUGAGAGAACUCGGGUGAAGGAACUAGGCAAAAUGGUACCGUAACUUCGGGAGAAGGUACGCUCUCGACGGUGAAGUCCCUCGCGGAUGGAGCUAUUGAGAGUCGCAGAUACCAGGUGGCUGCAACUGUUUAUUAAAAACACAGCACUGUGCAAAAUCGUAAGAUGACGUAUACGGUGUGACGCCUGCCCGGUGCCGGAAGGUUAAUUGAUGGGGUUAGACUUCGGUCGAAGCUCUUGAUCGAAGCCCCGGUAAACGGCGGCCGUAACUAUAACGGUCCUAAGGUAGCGAAAUUCCUUGUCGGGUAAGUUCCGACCUGCACGAAUGGCGUAAUGAUGGCCACGCUGUCUCCACCCGAGACUCAGUGAAAUUGAAAUCGCUGUGAAGAUGCAGUGUACCCGCGGCUAGACGGAAAGACCCCGUGAACCUUUACUACAGCUUGGCACUGAACAUUGACCCUACAUGUGUAGGAUAGGUGGGAGGCUUUGAAGCACGUACGCCAGUAUGUGUGGAGCCGUCCUUGAAAUACCACCCUUGUAGUGUUGAUGUUCUAACGUCGACCCCU